UACGUAGGGUGCAAGCGUUGUCCGGAAUUAUUGGGCGUAAAGAGCUCGUAGGCGGUUCGUCGCGUCGGCUGUGAAAACCUGAGGCUCAACCUCAGGCCUGCAGUCGAUACGGGCGGACUUGAGUACUGCAGGGGAGACUGGAAGUUCCUGGUGUAGCGGUGAAAUGCGCAGAUAUCAGGAGGAACACCGGUGGCGAAGGCGGGUCUCUGGGCAGUAACUGACGCUGAGGAGCGAAAGCGUGGGGAGCGAACAGG
RNAcentral lists this ribosomal RNA (254 nucleotides) under uncultured bacterium. RNAcentral's name for it is "partial 16S ribosomal RNA". It matches the Rfam family "Bacterial small subunit ribosomal RNA", at positions 524 to 776 of the family's 1533-position model. The record is from RNAcentral.